GUGGCACUUGGUGAAAGCACAUGCUGUGACCUUCUCGAGAUUCUCCUUCCCUUGUGCUCUCCGUCGUGGUAUUUAUAUUCCGUGCGCAGCACGCAAUUAAUAUUAGUUGAAGACCAUUGCUUCGUCUUUCCGGAUCUCGCUUGUCUUGUUCGUCGCGCUGUUUAAGCUUUGAUGCGUAGCAGCUAGCUCUCGUCAACGCUCUCCUUGAGUAUAUUCCUUCCUUUUCCAAAUCCAGUCGAUCCCUUCUUGCCGCUGUGAUUUGCCUUCGCUACUUGUUUACUAAGGCGCUGCGAAGCGUAGCGUCAGCAAAUAACUUGAGCCGACUGUUCAAGUCUCCAGCAAUCUUGCUGUGGGCGCAGUGUUCUUCUUUGCUAUAACAUCGGCACAGUGACCUAAACAAAUAAUUGCGUGUCAAUCUAUUGGUCCCUGGUUGAAAUACCGGCUGUUCACAGCCAUUCUUUUAUGAAAUUUUCGCGAAGUCUUUUACGAUUCAAGGUGCGGACACGGGUGGCGGCUGUGGACAACAGUGAAAGCAGCGGACUUUAAGGAAACAAAAAUUGUCCACACGUCCUCAAGUAGCAGCUCAGCAUGACAGACUGGCUUACGAAAGGAGGCGUAAUGUACUUUGCAAUAGCAUUAUUUCUUGCCUUUGUUUCUGAGAACCAAACGGAAGGAGCUGAUUGCCUUGAACAAGAAUACCCCGGCAUCCUUAAAAAACCUGUAUAUGUCAACGGCAGUCACUGCAUUGUGAGUAAGACUGUCCAGUUGCCAAAUGGAACAAGUGAAUCAUUUCGGCGACCCUGCAUCAAGCUCACGUGCCUUGUCCAUGAAAAAAAACUGAAAGAAGAAUACUGCAAGCCAUCUGACAAUUACGACGAAAACGGCUUUCAACUUGAACCAUCAGGAGACGGA
This 912-nucleotide long non-coding RNA is filed under the name Dermacentor andersoni. RNAcentral describes it as "uncharacterized LOC126525806". Lineage: Eukaryota; Metazoa; Arthropoda; Arachnida; Ixodida; Ixodidae. The record is from RNAcentral.